Molecule: ribosomal RNA, 125 nt
Filed under: Hygrophorus erubescens var. gracilis
Lineage: Eukaryota; Fungi; Basidiomycota; Agaricomycetes; Agaricales; Hygrophoraceae
Description: partial 5.8S ribosomal RNA
Rfam family: 5.8S ribosomal RNA
About the family: 5.8S ribosomal RNA (5.8S rRNA) is a component of the large subunit of the eukaryotic ribosome. It is transcribed by RNA polymerase I as part of the 45S precursor that also contains 18S and 28S rRNA. Functionally, it is thought that 5.8S rRNA may be involved in ribosome translocation.
Source: RNAcentral
UCGAUGAAGAACGCAGCGAAAUGCGAUAAGUAAUGUGAAUUGCAGAAUUCAGUGAAUCAUCGAAUCUUUGAACGCACCUUGCGCUCCUUGGUAUUCCAAGGAGCAUGCCUGUUUGAGUGUCAUUA